This 423-nucleotide ribosomal RNA is filed under the name uncultured bacterium. Its description in RNAcentral is "partial 16S ribosomal RNA". It matches the Rfam family "Bacterial small subunit ribosomal RNA", at positions 361 to 776 of the family's 1533-position model. The record is from RNAcentral.
AUAUUGGACAAUGGGCGAAAGUCUGAUCCAGCCAUGCCGCGUUUGUGAAGAAGGUCUUAGGAUUGUAAAGCACUUUAAGUUGGGAGAAAGGGCAGUAAGUUAAUACCUCGCUAUUUUUACAUUCUCGACAGAAUAAGCAUCGGCCAACUUCGUGCCAGCAGCCGCGGUAAUACGAAGGGUGCAAGCGUUAAUCGGAAUUACUGGGCGUAAAGCGCGCGUAGGUGGUUCGUUAAGUUGGAAGUGAAAGCCCCGGGCUUAACCUGGGAAUUGCAUCCAAAACUGACGAGCUAGAGUACGGUAGAGGGUAGUGGAAUUUCCUGUGUAGCGGUGAAAUGCGUAGAUAUAGGAAGGAACACCAGUGGCGAAGGCGACCACCUGGGCUAAUACUGACACUGAGGUGCGAAAGCGUGGGGAGCAAACAGG